UUUCCGUAGGUGAACCUGCGGAAGGAUCAUUACAGAGUAAUUGGUUGAAAGACCGACUACCCGUCCUUGUGUCAUAUGAAUUUGAAUAUACUUCCCAGGAGGUGUUGCAGCGAUGCGACCGCCUGGGGUUUUUUUACAAACUCUUGCAAGAAUCUGAAGUCUGAUACAACAAACAUAAUGAAAAGCAAAACUUUCAACAACGGAUCUCUUGGCUCUGGCAUCGAUGAAGAACGCAGC
RNAcentral lists this unclassified non-coding RNA (237 nucleotides) under uncultured fungus. RNAcentral describes it as "sequence contains ITS1, 5.8S rRNA gene". The stretch from base 189 to 237 matches the Rfam family "5.8S ribosomal RNA", at positions 1 to 49 of the family's 154-position model. Lineage: Eukaryota; Fungi. The record is from RNAcentral.